AUGUCUCUGCAUUGCGGCACAUGGUGCUGGAAAUAUAAUGGCCAGUUACAGACAAUCAAAAACCUUGCAACCCUAGACCACAGCUGUCUCAGCGAGAUCCCCAGCCAGAUGAGCAGCUACCCAAUGGUUCCCCAUUUGCUCUUUAUUGUUGGUCUGUCCUCCUUGGGAAGGGCCGUCCGUCAGCCCCCAGACAUGGUGGUCAGUCAGGGACAGCCACUGACGCUGAACUGCUCCCAAAAAUCAACCACUUACACCAACAUGUACUGGUACAAACAGGCUGUGGGGAAGGAUGCAAGGCUGCAGCUGGUGUUGUUUUCUGUAGAAGGCUCCGGGAGUGCAAAACCAGAGAACCCAUUUGAAGGUCACUUCCAGAGCAGUGAGACAAAAAACUAUGUCCUGUCUCUGUCUGCAGAGAGUGCCAAGGUGCAAGAUUCAGGCACCUAUUACUGUGCUAAGCAAGAUCACACAGUGCCUCAACUGCCGAAAGAUGGGCCGUCCUUCAGUCCCCAGACAUGGUGGUCAGUCAGGGACAGACACUAG
Non-coding RNA from Malaclemys terrapin pileata, 540 nucleotides. The record is from the annotation of a RefSeq genome assembly. NCBI's taxonomy places the organism in Eukaryota, Metazoa, Chordata, Testudines, Emydidae.